Molecule: transfer RNA, 73 nt
Filed under: Oscillatoriales cyanobacterium PCC 10608
Lineage: Bacteria; Bacillati; Cyanobacteriota; Cyanophyceae; Oscillatoriales
Description: tRNA-Ala
Rfam family: tRNA (bases 1-49)
About the family: Transfer RNA (tRNA) molecules are approximately 80 nucleotides in length.
Source: RNAcentral
CGCCUGCCUUGCACGCAGGAAGUCAGCGGUUCGAGUCCGCUUACCUCCACUCUCACUCGCCAGCAACCAACAC